This 429-nucleotide ribosomal RNA is filed under the name uncultured bacterium. Its description in RNAcentral is "bacterial SSU rRNA". It matches the Rfam family "Bacterial small subunit ribosomal RNA", at positions 355 to 776 of the family's 1533-position model. The record is from RNAcentral.
UCGAGAAUUUUUCUCAAUGGGGGAAACCCUGAAGGAGCGACGCCGCGUGGAGGAUGAAGGUUUUCGGAUUGUAAACUCCUGUCAUGAGGGAGCAAACUUAUUGGGAGUAACUGCCCGGUAAUUGAUAGUACCUCAAGAGGAAGGGACGGCUAACUCUGUGCCAGCAGCCGCGGUAAUACAGAGGUCCCAAGCGUUGUUCGGAUUCAUUGGGCGUAAAGGGUGCGUAGGCGGCGCCGUUAGUCGGAUGUGAAAUCUCGGGGCUCAACCCUGAAACUGCAUUCGAUACUGCGGUGCUAGAGGACUGGAGAGGAAACUGGAAUUCACGGUGUAGCAGUGAAAUGCGUAGAUAUCGUGAGGAAGACCUGUGGCGAAGGCGGGUUUCUGGACAGUACCUGACGCUGAGGCACGAAGGCCAGGGGAGCAAACGGG